This 440-nucleotide ribosomal RNA is filed under the name uncultured bacterium. Its description in RNAcentral is "partial 16S ribosomal RNA". It matches the Rfam family "Bacterial small subunit ribosomal RNA", at positions 338 to 795 of the family's 1533-position model. The record is from RNAcentral.
CCUACGGGUGUCAGCAGUGGGGAAUAUUGCACACUGGGGGAAACCCUGAUGCAGCGACGCCGCGUGAGCGAUGAAGUAUUUCGGUAUGUAAAGCUCUAUCAGCAGGGAAGAAAAUGACGGUACCUGACUAAGAAGCCCCGGCUAACUACGUGCCAGGAGCCGCGGUAAUACGUCGGGGGCAAGGGUUAUUCGGAUUUACUGGGUGGAACGGGAACGUAGACGGCUUGGCAAGUCAGAUGUGAAAGGCUGGGGCUCAACCCGAGGAAUGCAUUUGGGACUGGCAUGGUAGAGUGUCGGAGGGGGAGGUUGAAUUCCCAGUGUAGCGGUGAAAUGCGGUGAGAUUUGGAGGAACACCGAGGGCGAAGGCGGGCCGGUGGAAGAUUACUGACGGUUAGGCCCGAAAGCGUGGGGAGCAAACAGGAUUAGAUACCCUUGUAGUC